CUAAUGGAGACUGCCGGGUGAACUAACCGGGAGGAAGGUGGGGAUGACGUCAAGUCCUCAUGGCCCUUAGUAGGUGGGGCUACACACGUCAUACAAUGGCUGGUACAAAGGGUUGCCAACCCGCGAGGGGGAGCCAAUCCCAUAAAGCCAGUCGUAGUCCGGAUCGCAGUCUGCAACUCGACUGCGUGAAGUCGGAAUCGCUAGUAAUCGUGGAUCAGCAUGUCACGGUGAAUACGUUCCCGGGUCUU
Molecule: ribosomal RNA, 248 nt
Filed under: uncultured Comamonas sp.
Lineage: Bacteria; Pseudomonadati; Pseudomonadota; Betaproteobacteria; Burkholderiales; Comamonadaceae
Description: partial 16S ribosomal RNA
Rfam family: Bacterial small subunit ribosomal RNA
Source: RNAcentral